This 204-nucleotide long non-coding RNA is filed under the name Elaeis guineensis (African oil palm). RNAcentral describes it as "long non-coding RNA (EGUI_LNC036925)". The record is from RNAcentral. Lineage: Eukaryota; Viridiplantae; Streptophyta; Magnoliopsida; Arecales; Arecaceae.
UGUUGAACCAGCUAUAUCAUAGUAAGAUCUCUGAUCAAAUGAAGUUAGAUAAAUGGAUGGAUCUGAACUAUUAGAUGCAACUAUUGUCAAUCUUAUCUUAGUUGUCCAUAUCCUUUUUGAUUAUUAGACUUGAUUUUGUAUAAGAGAGUAGUCUCGACAAGAACAUGCCCAAAUUAGGAUAUUGCGAUAUGAUCUAUGAAUAGA